UGAACGCUGGCGGCAUGCCUUACACAUGCAAGUCGAACGGCAGCACGGGAGCUUGCUCCUGGUGGCGAGUGGCGAACGGGUGAGUAAUACAUCGGAACGUACCCAGUAAUGGGGGAUAACGCACCGAAAGGUGCGCUAAUACCGCAUACGACCUACGGGUGAAAGCGGGGGACCGUAAGGCCUCGCGUUAUUGGAGCGGCCGAUGUCUGAUUAGCUAGUUGGUGGGGUAAAGGCCUACCAAGGCGACGAUCUGUAGCUGGUCUGAGAGGACGACCAGCCACACUGGGACUGAGACACGGCCCAGACUCCUACGGGAGGCAGCAGUGGGGAAUUUUGGACAAUGGGGGCAACCCCGAUCCAGCAAUGCCGCGUGAGUGAAGAAGGCCUUCGGUUGUAAGACUCUUUGUUCAGGAAGAACAGACAGCUCUACACAGUCUGCGAAUAGACGGUACGUCGAAGAAUAAGGACACCGGCCGUAACCGUAACGUCGCCGACGCGACGC
Molecule: ribosomal RNA, 502 nt
Filed under: uncultured bacterium
Lineage: Bacteria
Description: bacterial SSU rRNA
Rfam family: Bacterial small subunit ribosomal RNA
Source: RNAcentral